RNAcentral lists this ribosomal RNA (748 nucleotides) under uncultured bacterium. RNAcentral describes it as "bacterial SSU rRNA". It matches the Rfam family "Bacterial small subunit ribosomal RNA", at positions 8 to 796 of the family's 1533-position model. The record is from RNAcentral.
AGAGUUUGAUCAUGGCUCAGGGUGAACGCUGGUAACGUGGAUACCGGCAUGCAAGUCACGGGGGCCGCAAGGCAACCGGCGAACGGCUUAGUAACACGUAGAUACAUACCGUAAAGUGGGGCAUAGCUCGUCGAAAGACGGGGUAAUUUCCCAUAGUCCCGCAAGGGUAAAGCAGCAAUGCGCUUUAUGAAUGGUCUGCGGUCUAUCAGCUAGUUGGUGGGGUAAAAGCCUACCAAGGCUAUGACGGAUAGGGGGCGUGAGAGCGCGACCCCCAAGAAUGGCACUGCGACACGGGCCAUACUCCUACGGGAGGCUGCAGUCGAGAACCUUCCGCAAUGGACGAAAGUCUGACGGAGCGACGUUACGUGAAGGAUGAAGCCCUUCGGGGUGUAAACUUCUUUUAUCUGGGAGCAACUUAAUGAGAGUACCAGAUGAAUAAGGGGAUACUAAUUCUGUGCCAGCAGUAGCGGUAAUACAGAAUCCCCGAGCGUUACCCGGAUUUAUUGGGCGUAAAGAGUCUGUAGGUGGUAAAGUAAGUUACAAAUUAAACUUCAUCGGCUUAACCUUUGAACUGUUUGUAAUACUGCUAUACUAAGAGGGCGUUAGAGGCAAACGGAACCGACGAAGUAGGGGUGAAAUCCGUUGAUAUCGUCGGGAACACCAAAUGCGAAGGCAGUUUGCUGGGACGACCCUGACACUGAGAGACGAAAGCGUGGGGAGCAAAAAGGAUUAGAUACCCUAGUAGUCC